Molecule: ribosomal RNA, 506 nt
Filed under: uncultured bacterium
Lineage: Bacteria
Description: partial 16S ribosomal RNA
Rfam family: Bacterial small subunit ribosomal RNA
Source: RNAcentral
AGUGAACGCUGGCGGUAGGCCUAACACAUGCAAGUCGAACGGCAGCACUGGAGAGCUUGCUCUCUGAGUGGCGAGUGGCGGACGGGUGAGGAAUACAUCGGAAUCUACUUUUUCGUGGGGGAUAACGUAGGGAAACUUACGCUAAUACCGCAUACGACCUACGGGUGAAAGCAGGGGACCUUCGGGCCUUGCGCGAUUGAAUGAGCCGAUGUCGGAUUAGCUAGUUGGUGGGGUAAAGGCCCACCAAGGCGACGAUCCGUAGCUGGUCUGAGAGGAUGAUCAGCCACACUGGAACUGAGACACGGUCCAGACUACUACGGGAGGCAGCAGUGGGGAAUAUUGGACAAUGGGCGCAAGCCUGAUCCAGCCAUACCGCGUGGGUGAAGAAGGCCUUCGGGUUGUAGAGCCCUUUUGUUGGGAAAGAAAUCCAGCUGGCUAAUACCCGGUUGGGAUGACGGUACCCAAAGAAUAAGCACCGGCUAACUUCGUGCCAGCAGCCGCCGUAA